GAAUGCUGACAUAAGUAACGAUAAAGCGGGUGAAAAGCCCGCUCGCCGGAAGACCAAGGGUUCCUGUCCAACGUUAAUCGGGGCAGGGUGAGUCGACCCCUAAGGCGAGGCCGAAAGGCGUAGUCGAUGGGAAACAGGUUAAUAUUCCUGUACUUGGUGUUACUGCGAAGGGGGGACGGAGAAGGCUAUGUUAGCCGGGCGACGGUUGUCCCGGUUUAAGCAUGUAGGCGGAGGUUCCAGGUAAAUCCGGUACCUUUUAACGCUGAGGUGUGAUGACGAGGCACUACGGUGCUGAAGUAACAAAUGCCCUGCUUCCAGGAAAAGCCUCUAAGCAUCAGGUAACAUUAAAUCGUACCCCAAACCGACACAGGUGGUCAGGUAGAGAAUACCAAGGCGCUUGAGAGAACUCGGGUGAAGGAACUAGGCAAAAUGGUGCCGUAACUUCGGGAGAAGGCACGCUGGUGUGUAGGUGAAGUCCCUGCGGAUGGAGCUGAGACCAGUCGAAGAUACCAGCUGGCUGCAACUGUUUAUUAAAAACACAGCACUGUGCAAACACGAAAGUGGACGUAUACGGUGUGACGCCUGCCCGGUGCCGGAAGGUUAAUUGAUGGGGUUAUCCGUAAGGAGAAGCUCUUGAUCGAAGCCCCGGUAAACGGCGGCCGUAACUAUAACGGUCCUAAGGUAGCGAAAUUCCUUGUCGGGUAAGUUCCGACCUGCACGAAUGGCGUAAUGAUGGCCAGGCUGUCUCCACCCGAGACUCAGUGAAAUUGAACUCGCUGUGAAGAUGCAGUGUACCCGCGGCAAGACGGAAAGACCCCGUGAACCUUUACUAUAGCUUGACACUGAACAUUGAGCCUUGAUGUGUAGGAUAGGUGGGAGGCUUUGAAGCGUGGACGCCAGUCUGCGUGGAGCCAACCUUGAAAUACCACCCUUUAAUGUUUGAUGUUCUAACGUAGGCCCCUGACCGGGGUUGCGGACAGUGUCUGGUGGGUAGUUUGACUGGGGCGGUCUCCUCCCAAAGAGUAACGGAGGAGCACGAAGGUUAGCUAAUCCUGGUCGGACAUCAGGAGGUUAGUGCAAUGGCAUAAGCUAGCUUGACUGCGAGCGUGACGGCGCGAGCAGGUGCGAAAGCAGGUCAUAGUGAUCCGGUGGUUCUGAAUGGAAGGGCCAUCGCUCAACGGAUAAAAGGUACUCCGGGGAUAACAGGCUGAUACCGCCCAAGAGUUCAUAUCGACGGCGGUGUUUGGCACCUCGAUGUCGGCUCAUCACAUCCUGGGGCUGAAGUAGGUCCCAAGGGUAUGGCUGUUCGCCAUUUAAAGUGGUACGCGAGCUGGGUUUAGAACGUCGUGAGACAGUUCGGUCCCUAUCUGCCGUGGGCGCUGGAGAAUUGAGGGGGGCUGCUCCUAGUACGAGAGGACCGGAGUGGACGCAUCACUGGUGUUCGGGUUGUCAUGCCAAUGGCACUGCCCGGUAGCUAAAUGCGGAAGAGAUAAGUGCUGAAAGCAUCUAAGCACGAAACUUGCCCCGAGAUGAGUUCUCCCUGAGACUAUAAGUCUCCUGAAGGAACGUUGAAGACGACGACGUUGAUAGGCCGGGUGUGUAAGCGCAGCGAUGCGUUGAGCUAACCGGUACUAAUGAACCGUGAG
RNAcentral lists this ribosomal RNA (1646 nucleotides) under Klebsiella variicola. RNAcentral's name for it is "partial 23S ribosomal RNA". It matches the Rfam family "Bacterial large subunit ribosomal RNA", at positions 1292 to 2915 of the family's 2925-position model. Lineage: Bacteria; Pseudomonadati; Pseudomonadota; Gammaproteobacteria; Enterobacterales; Enterobacteriaceae. The record is from RNAcentral. RNAcentral also lists the same sequence under 1 other name.